This 464-nucleotide ribosomal RNA is filed under the name uncultured Klebsiella sp. Its description in RNAcentral is "bacterial SSU rRNA". It matches the Rfam family "Bacterial small subunit ribosomal RNA", at positions 338 to 795 of the family's 1533-position model. The record is from RNAcentral. Lineage: Bacteria; Pseudomonadati; Pseudomonadota; Gammaproteobacteria; Enterobacterales; Enterobacteriaceae.
CCUACGGGGGGCAGCAGUGGGGAAUAUUGCACAAUGGGUGCAAGCCUGAUGCAGCCAUGCCGCGUGUGUGAAGAAGGCCUUCGGGUUGUAAAGCACUUUCAGCGGGGAGGAAGGCGUUAAGGUUAAUAACCUUGGCGAUUGACGUUACCCGCAGAAGAAGCACCGGCUAGCUCCGUGCCAGCAGCCGCGGUAAUACGGAGGGUGCAAGCGUUAAUCGGAAUUACUGGGCGUAAAGCGCACGCAGGCGGUCUGUCAAGUCGGAUGUGAAAUCCCCGGGCUCAACCUGGGAACUGCAUUCGAAACUGGCGGGCUAGGGUCUUGUAGAGGGGGGUAGAAUUCCAGGUGUAGCGGUGAAAUGCGUAGGGAUCUGGGGGAAUACCGGUGGCGAAGGCGGCCCCCUGGACAAAAACUGACGCUCAGGUGCGAAAGCGUGGGAGCAAACAGGAUUAGAUACCCGGGUAGUC